Non-coding RNA from Heterocephalus glaber (naked mole-rat), 5506 nucleotides. Lineage: Eukaryota; Metazoa; Chordata; Mammalia; Rodentia; Bathyergidae. The record is from RefSeq and is a predicted model, not a curated record.
AAGGCUUUGGUGGCCUUUGGUGGCCCUCACUAACUCUACUAAUAACUUGCAGUCUUAGCCCCUCUUCAGAGCAUGCUCUCUUCAGAAAGCUAUACGGGCAGUAAACACGUGGCAUUUGAUUUAUAAUAAAUGCACCUUGAGCAAUUUCCAUAAAGCCAAGGACCUGUGCUCUCCAGGCCUCUCCAGGGGUCAGCCAGGUGCCUUCUGAAAUGCCAGGGAAAGGGCAGUGAUUCUGUUUCAUCAGUGGUGGCCUCCAUCCCUGUUGCUUUUAAAAGCUUUUGUAAAGAUGAUUCCCUGGGAUUGUUAAUUACCCCCCGGAAUUAUGCCACUCUGAAAGUGCAGAUUGUUUGUAGACACUGUUACAGUUUGAAGUAGCAGUAGCAGCACCUUGGAACUGACAGUAGAGAAACAAAUUGCACUGCCUGCUUUCGAUAAGCGCCACCGGGACACGCUCUGUUCCUGGGUCUCAUGGCACCUGGUUCUCCCCAGAAACAGGUUAUUUCUGGGGUUUGUUGCAUGGAAGAGCAUUAGUGAUGUCAGCUGUCAAGGCAGAAAGACUUUAAGUCUGCCCACAGUAGAAAGGUGUCAAGCAAAGAAAGGCAAAUUAAGUCACCCUCAUGGUAUGUUUCAAAGCUGGGGGGUAAUUUGGGGAGUGGGACCAAGAUGGAAGCAUGUAUAGGUCCUGAGGGCUGCCAGUCUGCACGAUUCUUAAGUGACAUGCAACACCAAAUCCCAACAAAACCUGGCAGGGGCCAAACAGCACUGUGUCUUAAGUUUUUUUCUCUAAAGAACCAGCAGAGGUGAGAAUGGAUUCUGUAUUACUUGCAGUCAUUGAAAUGCCAGCAAGCAUCUUUAGACACUAGUGUUAAUUCUGAAUGUAUAUUCUUCGAAUCAUCCAAAGCCUUGGAAGAUGACACAGCACAGACGGAUCUUAAUUUUGUAUGCAAGUCACUUGUUAGUAUCUAAAUAUCAGUGUCUAAUAUCAACAUGUUACUAUAGUAGCAGAAAGCAUUGUAGGAUUAGUGGGUCAUAAUCAUUGUCAAAUGGAUGAAUCACAUAAGGAAGGCAAUUACCUCAUUAAGAAUACAUCUAGAGCAGCGCUGUCCAGUAGAACUUUCUGUGGUGUUGGAAUGUUGUAUAUCAUGCUUUCCAAUAUGAUAGCUGCCAACCAUUUGUAGGUACUGAGCACAAUUUAUUUUAAAAAUUAUUUAGUUUAAAUUUAGAUAACUGAACGUGACUAGAGUAUUGGAUAAUGCAAUUCUAGGGUGUAUAUUUCAUAACUAAGGAGGAGUCACUUCUGUUCCCUGGCAUCAAGGUCAGUAAUGUCUCUACACAAGGAAAUCCUCCAGGGUGGCUAUAGGGGCCUGUGAAACCAGAGGUUGUCAAGCUCUGUUUGGAGAUGCACCAUAAAGCCCAGGGCUGUAAGUGCCUGGGGCAGGCGUUUCUGGCCUGAUUCAUGGGCCUUGGGAGUGGUGGGAAGGAGCGUUUGCCUCCCGCUUCCUGCAGGAACCCUCAUUGUCCAACUUAGGUUGGAGCCAUAGGAGCUCCUUUGAACGUCUCUGGUCUCCAUAGAUACCCUGUGUGGCUGCACAUAGCUUUAUGCUUUUCCCCAGGAAACUGAUGGCCAGUGGUACUGACACCCUGAAGAUAUGCGGCGAGAUGUUGGAGGUAGCAGCUACACAGGCUGCUAUUGGCAACUUUUUUUUCUCUUAGGAGAAUUGGGGCACCCAAAGGGAGGUUUUCUCUGGCCCCACUGCCUGAGCGUGUUGGGCAAGCAGAACCCCAGAAAGAACACCUUGAAAGUGCACAAAGCCAUUGAUUGUCUCUCUUACCGUUAUGGUUUGGGCAAUCCAGGCUGAGUUAACUUCCUUUGCUCUCUCUCCCCACCCUGCUUUCCAAAAGCACAGAAAAUUUAUGAUCUUUUUCCUUCAGAUUUGCCUUGAAUGUUUGAAAUGCUGUCAUAUCCUCCCUUGGCUUUAAGUGGCAUUAAAUCCAGCCUUCCCAUCUUGAAGACAACGUGAAAUGUCCUCUGGCAAGCGUAACUGUGAAGUCCUCCACCGAGCCUGUCACAUCUUCCUCCAUGCGGCCAUGUCUAGCACUGCGCCAUAGCCAUGUGGCUGUGUCUAGGGAGGGUGGGCAUUGAAACCCACCCUCCCUUGAAACGCAUGUGAAUUGGGGUAAAGUUAGUGGGUUUUAGGGUGUUGCUGCUCUGAAAAAGCUCAGGUUUUCCACUGACCAGGAAAGAAAUAGGAUAGUAUGUUAUUUCCCUAGAAUUUUUUAAAAAGGACAAGCUAAUCAUAAUCAUAAAAGGAACCUAUUUCUCAUGAGGUAGUGUCUUUACUAAUAAACGUGGCAGAGGUAGAAGCACCUUUAAGCUGUUUGCCAUCUGGACAAGCAGCAGUCAUGACUUUUCAGUGGCAGAUAGUUGCAGUCCACAAAAUCAUAAAAAUCAUGAGAAUUUUGUUCCAGGGACAAGGUGAUGCUUGAGCCUGAGUUGCCAAGUUAAGACUUCAGCUUCUGUUUUCACUCCCAGGACAUGGAAUGACUCAUCUAGUCCCCAGGUUUGGGCUCCCACUCCUCAUGCCCAGGGCUCCUUCCCCAAGGUCAUCUAUCGAUGGGCAGGUAUUUUGGCCUGGCGCAGUCCUGCCCCCAGCCCUGCAAGCUCAAGGUGCAGCAGAGAAGUGCGCUGAGGGUGACAGGUCCUCGCAGGACUCUGUGGCAGUGCUGCUCCAAGCGGUUCAAGCAGAGCAGUUCAUCCUGUCAUUCUCACAGCAGCCCUCUUAGGAGCUGGGCAGUGUCAGUUACUGCUGCGGAGGCUGAGGCUGUGUCACUGCCAGGGUUUCCCUCUGAUCCAUGACAAGAAGAAGGUGGGAGGGAGAAACAAGAGCACGGCAGGGAAAGGGGACUCGCAGAGGUGGGAGAGGACGGGGUGGUGGAAGGUUAUGCCCCAGCAGGGCUCCAGGUAGAGGAGGGCUCCAGGGUCACCUCGGGGAACAGCAGGAAUGAGCUCAGGGUCCCCACAGCACAGCCAAAGGGAAGGGGCACUCAGGAACACUGCAGGCAAGAAGACAAAGGCUGGAGUGAGCUGGCUAUUGAGCAGCGGGAGCCAGGUGCCACCAUCUGCAGACCCAGCUCGGAGGCUGUUGUCUCUCCAGGGGCUCUAGGUCUGCCAGAUCCCUGCCGCCAUCACUGGCCACCGACGCUGUGGCUGCCCCACCACCUCUCCAUGGCCUGCUUUGGCCCCUCCUGCCUCUGCUUGCCCUGCAUUCCUCCUUCUGCACUCACCCUCACCUUUGUACGCUCUCGCCCUGCUCUCGUCUUGCCUCCCCCUGCCCUUCUCCCUGACCCUCCCUGACCCUCCGUUUGCCCUGCCCUCUUCCAGCCCCUGACCUGUCCUUGUCCUCUCCCUCCCUGGCAGUCCUUCCUCUCUUUGUUUGGAAAGAUGGCCUUUGCAGCUGAUUGUGCAAACCUGAGUCCACUCCAGCAACACACACUGUACAUAGUGAUCCUUUCCUCCUUUUUUUCUGUAUAUGAUGAUUUUACCCUCGCAUUUCUUUUGUACAUGGUGAUCCUAUCCUUGCUUUUUUUUGGGGGGGGGGUACCAGGGAUCGAACUCGUGACCUUGUGCCUGCGAGGCAGGCAGCGGAACCACUGAGCUACGUCCCUGGCCCCUCUCCUUGCUUUUUUAACAAGAGUCCUUCAUUCUGCCCCUGACUGCUUGAAACGGACCUAGUCUUGCAUCCUGCAGAAUAUCCUUCAUUAUGGAUUCAUCUGGUCGCUGCCUGGUGGUGUCUUUUAUUUUUCUAGCCACUGUUUCCUAUAAACAGGAAGUUAGUUCUAUAGACUUGAUAAAUUAAAAUUUAUGAUUGAAAUACAUUCCAGGUGAUGUUCUCUGCAUGUUGUAUCAGGGGUGCCCAGAGGCCCAGAUGUCUCUCCAUCCCUACCUUUUUCAGGAGAUGAAAUUAUCCUUGAAACUCCCUGAUGCUUCAGCUGCAUCUAAAUCCAAGUAGCAUUGGGUAUUUGUAUCACUUUUUCUGGGACCGAGACCUAGCAUAGCCUGCAUUACCUUCUGCUUGCAAGCUACAAAUAUAAAGAGCACGUACAUAUUCCAAAUAGAAUAUGUGUAAGUGGGGAUAUAUAUUUUAUACACAUACUUGCAAACCUCAUCAUGCCCUGAACACUGAUGCAGAGAGCAAGUGUGGUACAGUGGUCAGAGGCACCAUUCCUACUCCAGCCCCGCACACCAUAUGGCUGAUCAUAGCAGUAGCUCAAUAAAAGUUUCGUAGUUGUUCAAAGAAUGUAGGCUUUAGAAUCAAGCAAAGUACAUUUUAGAUCUAGUUUGGCCCUUUCAUUCCAUUUGAACAUGGACAGAUUAAUAAAUUUUUGUAGCUUCCAUAGUUUCAUCCACUAAGAGGCAGUGAUAAGUCUUGCAGAGUGUUGGGAAGGAUUCCAUGAGGGACUGUGAACCUUGUCCGGCCGAGUGCCACACAUCCAGCCAACACUAAACCUGGGGUGUUUCUUCCCUGUCUGGUCAGUUAAUGGUACUGAACCUUACAGGAUAAUCCCUGCUCUCAGUGAAGAAGAGUAGUAUCUUUUCAGAGUCCCUGAGCUUUUCAAGAUGAGAAUGUAGGAAGGAAGGCAGGCACGACUACAGCACCAGUGGGAGCCUGAGAGAGGACCUCCCCUCAGAUGCCAAAAUGUGUGCGUGCUGAAGUACCUUCUAUGAAAUGGCGUGUAAAUACCUGCAUCUUCCUGUAUACUGUAAGUCACUUCUGGAUUACUUAUGAUGCCUCAUAUGACACAAAUGCUCUGUAAAUAUUUGCUAUAGUAUAUUUGUUUAGGGACAAUAAUGACAAGGGGGAAAAGUCUGUACAUGUUGAAUAUAGACUUUUAAAAAAUUGAUCUGCAGUUGGUUGAAUCUGCAGAUGUGGAUCCUGUAGAUUCAGAGAACUGACUACAUCAUAUUUUUGUAGAUGCCUUGAGGAAAUAUUUGCUGUAUCUGUGGAAUCCUGAUGGAAUUAUUGAGUUCCUUCUGAUCUUCAGGUCAAAACCGGGGAAGCUUUAUUCAAAGGAGUUUCUUAGGGCACCCCUGGCUCCACCCCAAAGGGUUAUUCAGAAACUCUGCUGGACUAUGGUCCAUGCUUGUCCUGGACCCAGAGGUAUUUGUAAUGUGGUUCAACUGAAAAGCAACUUUUCCUCCCUGGCCACCCGUGUAAAAUGUCCGUAAGUGCCCAGUGAAAAACAGUUGGGUGAAACUUUCAGCAAAACAGAUGAAAGGAGCAAGCUCAACACUUCCAAGGCUGUCUGAUAACAAACUCUCAGAAGAAGAAACGAGUAAGAAACUGGAGUGCAGCAUUGGGUUCCCCACAGGGCUCUUACUGGAAAUAAAGUAUCAUUGUACUAGGUUGAGAUGAUGGCAGGAUAAGGCUGCUGUGCUCCAGCAGUUGUCUUCAUAGCCGUGGUUUGUUGGCUUUUGUCAUUCUUAAAUAAUAAAAACUAUACCCAG